This 227-nucleotide long non-coding RNA is filed under the name Helianthus annuus (common sunflower). RNAcentral describes it as "hypothetical non coding rna". Lineage: Eukaryota; Viridiplantae; Streptophyta; Magnoliopsida; Asterales; Asteraceae. The record is from RNAcentral.
GUCAAAAUCAAGCAUCCGUUGAAUCGGCAAUUGCUUGUAGUUAUAGAACAAUGCUUGCGUUGUACGAGAAAAUAUUUGUCCGGUUGCCAUGGUGCUCCCUGAAUGAAUUUGUUAAGACUAUUGGAAGCAGGUGAGCGGUUUUCCAGACGAGCUUUGAAGUGUGUAGCACAUAAUAUGGGCUGAUGAUAUAAAUAGAAAUGGAGGUUUACUAGUAGUUGUGUUCGCGU